GGAGUGGUCCCCGAGCGGCUGCGGGCGGGUCCCGACUGGGGCCCGCCGCUGGCUCGGAGACCGGCUUGGGCCCCGCGCGUCACCUCGCUGGCCCCGAGGCAGUUCCUGCGGGCGGUCGCGGCUGAGGGGCUGCGGCCUCGGCCGCCGCCUCCACGGCCCUCCGAGGCGCGGGCCUUACCUGGGGACGCGUGGGGCCGCCCGGGCUCCUUCUAGAGACCGACCCUCGCGUCCGGACGCGGUCCCCGGAGGCGGCUGGCCCCGGUGCCGCCCUCGCGUCCCGCCGAGCGCCCGCUGCGGCGGCCCGGGGAGGAUCGCGGGCCCGCCUCGUGGCCAAGAAGCGCGAGUGACCUGCAGGCCCGAGGCGGGAGGCAUAUAUCGAGUACCUCCCAUGUGCCCUGCACUGUGCUAGUUUACUUGGAAGUACAGAGAGAAGCAUAUCCCCUGUCCUGAGGAACUCAGUGUAGUAGAG
RNAcentral lists this long non-coding RNA (469 nucleotides) under Equus caballus (horse). RNAcentral's name for it is "lncRNA (ENSECAG00000048687.1)". The record is from RNAcentral. Lineage: Eukaryota; Metazoa; Chordata; Mammalia; Perissodactyla; Equidae.